GAAAGGAUACAGAGAUAUUGACGUCCUUCGGGAACCGCUGUGGAGGUGCUGCAUGGUUGUCGUCAGCUCGUGCCGUGAGGUGUCGGCUUAAGUGCCAUAACGAGCGCAACCUUUUUCAUCAGUUGCCAUCAGGUGAUGCUGGGCACUCUGGUGAUACUGCCACCGUAAGGUGUGAGGAAGGUGGGGAUGACGUCAAAUCAGCACGGCCCUUACGUCCGGGGCUACACACGUGUUACAAUGGGGCAUACAGAAGGCAGGAACAUGGCAACAUGUUUCAAAUCUUAAAAGUGCUCCUCAGUUCGGAUUGGGGUCUGCAACCCGACCCCAUGAAGCUGGAUUCGCUAGUAAUCGCGCAUCAGCCAUGGCGCGGUGAAUACGUUCCCGGGCCUUGUACACACCGCCCGUCAAGCCAUGAAAGCCGGGGGCGCUGAAGUCCGUGACCGCAAGGAUCGGCCUAGAGCGAAACUGGUAAUUGGGGCUAAGUCGUAACAAGGUAACCUA
This 501-nucleotide ribosomal RNA is filed under the name uncultured bacterium. RNAcentral's name for it is "bacterial SSU rRNA". It matches the Rfam family "Bacterial small subunit ribosomal RNA", at positions 992 to 1503 of the family's 1533-position model. The record is from RNAcentral.